UGACAGUACUCCUACGGGGAGGCAGCAGUCGGGGGAAUAUUGCACAAUGGGCGCAAGCCUGAUGCAGCCAUGCCGCGUGUGUGAAGAAGGCCUUCGGGUUGUAAAGCACUUUCAGUCGUGAGGAAGGUAGUGUAGUUAAUAGCUGCAUUAUUUGACGUUAGCGACAGAAGAAGCACCGGCUAACUCCGUGCCAGCAGCCGCGGUAAUACGGAGGGUGCGAGCGUUAAUCGGAAUUACUGGGCGUAAAGCGCAUGCAGGUGGUUUGUUAAGUCAGAUGUGAAAGCCCGGGGCUCAACCUCGGAAUAGCAUUUGAAACUGGCAGACUAGAGUACUGUAGAGGGGGGUAGGAAUUUCAGGUGUAGCGGUGAAAUGCGUAGAGAUCUGAAGGAAUACCGGUGGCGAAGGCGGCCCCCUGGACAGAUACUGACACUCAGAUGCGAAAGCGUGGGGAGCAAACAGGAUUAGAUACCCCUGGUAG
RNAcentral lists this ribosomal RNA (478 nucleotides) under uncultured bacterium. RNAcentral's name for it is "bacterial SSU rRNA". It matches the Rfam family "Bacterial small subunit ribosomal RNA", at positions 328 to 793 of the family's 1533-position model. The record is from RNAcentral.